AGUGAACGCUGGCGGUAGGCCUAACACAUGCAAGUCGAACGGCAGCACAGUAAGAGCUUGCUCUUACGGGUGGCGAGUGGCGGACGGGUGAGGAAUACAUCGGAAUCUACUUUUUCGUGGGGGAUAACGUAGGGAAACUUACGCUAAUACCGCAUACGACCUACGGGUGAAAGCAGGGGAUCUUCGGACCUUGCGCGAUUGAAUGAGCCGAUGUCGGAUUAGCUAGUUGGCGGGGUAAAGGCCCACCAAGGCGACGAUCCGUAGCUGGUCUGAGAGGAUGAUCAGCCACACUGGAACUGAGACACGGUCCAGACUCCUACGGGAGGCAGCAGUGGGGAAUAUUGGACAAUGGGCGCAAGCCUGAUCCAGCAAUACCGCGUGGGUGAAGAAGGCCUUCGGGUUGUAAAGCCCUUUUGUUGGGAAAGAAAAGCAGCAGGUGAAUACCCCGAUGUUCUGACGGUACCCAAAGAAUAAGCACCGGCUAACUUCGUG
This 492-nucleotide ribosomal RNA is filed under the name uncultured bacterium. RNAcentral describes it as "partial 16S ribosomal RNA". It matches the Rfam family "Bacterial small subunit ribosomal RNA", at positions 29 to 507 of the family's 1533-position model. The record is from RNAcentral.